UAGGGAAUCUUCGGCAAUGGACGAAAGUCUGACCGAGCAACGCCGCGUGAGUGAAGAAGGUUUUCGGAUCGUAAAACUCUGUUGUUAGAGAAGAAUAAGGGUGAGAGUAACUGUUCACCCCUUGACGGUAUCUAACCAGAAAGCCACGGCUAACUACGUGCCAG
Molecule: ribosomal RNA, 164 nt
Filed under: uncultured bacterium
Lineage: Bacteria
Description: partial 16S rRNA
Rfam family: Bacterial small subunit ribosomal RNA
Source: RNAcentral